GGGGUGCUGAGGCUAUUUUUGAUGUUUCCAGCUGUGUAAAUGAGUAUUUGCAUGGUUUUGUAAUGGUAGGCAGGAGCCAAUUGCAGCUCAGAGACCAAAGAACAACUACAAUGUUUUCAUCACUUCAGUCACCUGCACCAUACUUAGGCAAAUUAAUGAGCCAGCAUUGACUGAAAGCCUCGCCCUGCUGAAGUCAAGAUCAAGGCAGCUCACCUCCAACAGGUUCAGGGUUUCUUUAGCAAUAAGGCCCACCUGCCUGCUUAAUAGCAACUCCAGUUCACAGCCCUGUGCUCAAACCUGGUAAACAUUAAGUAGACCAGUGUGCAGCCCACAUCAAGCAGCCCACACAGACCCAGCAGGACCCUUAGCCCUGGCCAUCUCCUGGUGAGCAGCACUCAACACCUCUUGGCUGCAAGCAGGCUGAGCUCUGUAAAUCCUUUAUCCCCAGGGAUGGAGGAAACUCCAUCUCCUGGGGCAUGAGCACAUUUCUAAGCAGUGUUCUGCCAGAAGGACUUGGCAGGGAUGCCCAGGGCUGGCUGAGGAGCAAGCCAGCAUGCUGUGAUGCAUAUCCCAGGCUCACUCCUCAGUCCUGAAUAUUCAUCCUGGGUCAAAUCAUGUACUUGUGAGAGCCUAAAGUUACACCAGGGGAGAUUCAGCAUGCAUCAGGAACUACACAGACUCCUGUGUUUGUGCACAGACCUGAAUAAUGCUGGGCUCUGAAUAUCUACAUCUCGAUACGUCUGGACAUUAGCAGCUUGGACCUUCUUGGCCUUUGGGUCGCUGGAGACAGAUUCUGCCCAAAGGGAGCUGGAAGCAUGCAAAAAAUCCUGGCUGAGGGGAACGGGAGAAAAAUGAAGAGAAAAUGCCUCUGGUGGCAGCCCCUCUGCUUGCAGUACAGCAGAUGGUGGAAAGUUAUGAGACAGCAGCUCCUUGAGGCAUAGCAUAAGCCCAGAAACAAUAAAAGGAAGAAAGGAAGGAAAGAAAAGUGAAUU
This 992-nucleotide long non-coding RNA is filed under the name Phasianus colchicus (ring-necked pheasant). RNAcentral's name for it is "lncRNA (ENSPCLG00000004842.1)". Lineage: Eukaryota; Metazoa; Chordata; Aves; Galliformes; Phasianidae. The record is from RNAcentral.